This 577-nucleotide ribosomal RNA is filed under the name Pantoea sp. HPC1071. Its description in RNAcentral is "bacterial SSU rRNA". It matches the Rfam family "Bacterial small subunit ribosomal RNA", at positions 1 to 596 of the family's 1533-position model. Lineage: Bacteria; Pseudomonadati; Pseudomonadota; Gammaproteobacteria; Enterobacterales; Erwiniaceae. The record is from RNAcentral.
UAGUCGUUACGCGGUAGCCGUAAGUUUGCAACGGUAGCGGUAGCAAUUUGUACCUUGCUCCUUUGCCGGCGAGCGGCGGACGGGUGAGUAAUGUCUGGGAAACUGCCUGAUGGAGGGGGAUAACUACUGGAAACGGUAGCUAAUACCGCAUAACGUCGCAAGACCAAAGAGGGGGACCUUCGGGCCUCUUGCCAUCAGAUGUGCCCAGAUGGGAUUAGCUAGUAGGUGGGGUAACGGCUCACCUAGGCGACGAUCCCUAGCUGGUCUGAGAGGAUGACCAGCCACACUGGAACUGAGACACGGUCCACACUCCUACGGGAGGCAGCAGUGGGGAAUAUUGCACAAUGGGCGCAAGCCUGAUGCACCCAUGCCGCGUGUAUGAAAAAGGCCUUCGGGUUGUAAAGUACUUUCAGCGGGGAGGAAGGUGUUGAGGUUAAUAACCUCAGCAAUUGACGUUACCCGCAAAAAAAGCACCGGCUAACUCCGUGCCAGCAGCCGCGGUAAUACAGAGGGUGCAAGCGUUAAUCAGAAUUACUGGGCGUAAAGCGCACGCACGCGGUCUGUCAAGUCAGAUGUG